UUGCAGGAGCCAAUAGUGAAGAAGGUAUCUGCUAAUUUCAUUUAGAUUUAAUUUGACUUGGUAUAGAUAUGUUCAUAUGUUCAAUUAACUCUUACAUCAGAUAUUGGCUUAGGAGCCUGGAUUGAAAUUGUAUACUGACGAGUUAACAUGUUUUGAGUAUUCCAAAAAGUAAAGCACUUUUCUAACAUGCAGCAUUACUUAUUUGAAUGUCUUAUUACCCUAGAAAUUAAAUGCUACUGAUACAAAAUUGAUAUAUUAUUGUGCUUUUGUGUGAGGACCUUAUUGAUCUUGUUAAAUUAAUUAACUAUAUUUUGCAGGGUUGAUUUUAACUAUGAAGAGAUAAUUGAAGCAACUUCAAUUGGCUUUAGUUCAGUGAUUUCCAAAUUUGUUCAAAUGUUGGAUUUGGAGAAGGGAAUGAUGGACUACCUAUAUGCAAAGUGUCAAGAAGCUGCAAAAAGGACUGUCUAAGGAACCCUGUGAAUCACUGACGAAGCUUACAAGAGUAUCACUUCUAGUAGUGUAUAGUUUCUUAUGGAUGUAUUUUUAACUUGUAAAUUUAUUGUAUAAUACAUUUAAAAUACAGUACAAGAUCAUAUAUGCACCAAUUAUUUCGUGCAUUUUUUUUAAUAUAGCCUACCAAUUUUGCC
This 647-nucleotide long non-coding RNA is filed under the name Rosa chinensis. Its description in RNAcentral is "sRNA RchiOBHm_Chr2g0140181". The record is from RNAcentral. Lineage: Eukaryota; Viridiplantae; Streptophyta; Magnoliopsida; Rosales; Rosaceae.